Molecule: long non-coding RNA, 207 nt
Organism: Lynx canadensis (Canada lynx)
Lineage: Eukaryota; Metazoa; Chordata; Mammalia; Carnivora; Felidae
Exons: 2
Source: RefSeq, a predicted model, not a curated record
CAAUUCUGAUUGUGCCAUUUACUCUACACAGAACGUGGAGCUUCUUAGCCUCAACCAUGCACAUUGAGGACAACAGACUCAACACGAAGCAUGGCCCUGCUCGGUGUGUAACCGGCCUUUCCGGAGAGAGACACCACGGCCACCAGAGACCUCGCCAGACGCCAUGCUAGAGACAGCAGAAACCCCUCCCAUUUGUGUUUCAUCGGA